AAAUUGAUCAUGAAACAUGUAACUACGGGUACACAAGGGGGAACGGGACGACUAAGAACACAUUUGAGAAAGUGUAAUAAAGAAUUUGCUCGCCUAGAUGAUAUAGAAAGGGCUAAUAGAAAUGGAAUACCUCAACCUGAAAAUUCUAUGGGAGCUGGAGGUUCUAAUAUGGUUCAAAGUGUAUUAAAUAUGACUAACCCGGCUAGCCGAAGCACACAC
RNAcentral lists this long non-coding RNA (219 nucleotides) under Solanum tuberosum (potato). RNAcentral's name for it is "long non-coding RNA (STUB_LNC009068)". Lineage: Eukaryota; Viridiplantae; Streptophyta; Magnoliopsida; Solanales; Solanaceae. The record is from RNAcentral.